Molecule: long non-coding RNA, 1070 nt
Filed under: Bos indicus x Bos taurus (hybrid cattle)
Lineage: Eukaryota; Metazoa; Chordata; Mammalia; Artiodactyla; Bovidae
Description: lncRNA (ENSBIXG00005020854.1)
Source: RNAcentral
UAAUUAAACAUUGGAGAGAUAAGCCAUUAAUUUUUAAAUAAAUGGUUUUAUAAAGUAUAUUUAGUAACCACUCAAAAUAAUAUUUUGAGGAUAUUUACUGAUUCAGAAUAUGAAAUUAAAAUGUAGCAUGCAUGUAUUUAUAUGUGUGAGAAUGUGUGUAUAUGUGCAGCAGAGGAAAGAAAUACAUUGAAAAUGCCCCUGUAUUUUCUCCAAGUAGUGGUAACAGAGUUUAUUUAAAAUGUAUUAUUUAUCCUUGGCUAUAUUUUCCAUGUCUUGUAAGAUAAAUGUUAGUGAAUUUCAGAAUUUUAUAAUCAAAAUUUUAAAUAUUAAUCUGUGUUAUGUUUUGUGGUGUCAGAAACAGUAUGGCUUGUUCUGAACGUACAUGACAUAAAACUAAAAAGUGGAAAUUUAAACUAGAGAGGGUAAAUAGAAAGCAUCCUUAUCUAAGUCAGUAAAUUAGUUUAUUUUUAAUUUUAUGGAGAUUUUAUAUAAUAAGGUUUUAGAAUAGAAUGUUUUAAAUAGACGGUAAGGAAUCUGACUAUAAUGCAGGAGACCCAGGUUCAGUCCUUGGGUCAGGAAGAUCCCCUGGAGAAGGAAAUGGCAACCUACUCCAGUAUUGUGGCUUGGAGAAUUCCAUGGACAGAGGAGCUUGGUGGGCUACAGUCCUUGAAGUCAAGAGGAGUUGAACGUGACUGACCGACUUUAACACUUUCACUUUCAUACUUUUAAAGCAUUUAUAUCUAUUAUCCAAGUUGAUUUUUGUAAUACUUUGUAGUAUAAAUUUACAUUAUAACAUGUCUUGCCCAAAGUCAUGAACACAUUUAUUCAUUUACAUAUAGAUGUGGGUCCCUGGUAUGUGCCCAGUGUUGUAUCUACUGAAAUGCAAGAGUGAACCAGACAGAUUUUCUGGGUGUCAAGCAACAUCAACACUGAUGAACCCUGGAUUCAAGCCCAUCUUCUGGACCACAGGCUCACACUCUUUCACUACAAGAAGCCACAUGUUGAAGACGGAAGAGGUUUUAUCAGUCUGGGAUUCAAAUGCAAGAACCCCCAUGAUCAUCUCGCCGUGA